CUUUCCCGCUGGAAAACGCAUCCCCGUCCCGUGCCCUUCCCGCCGCCGAUAGGCCGGGAGCUGCGGCUGAGGCCGCUGACGGCGCGCUGAGGCGGACGCGGCACAGGGCAGAUCCCUCGUGGGGCUCCUUCACAGAACAAGUGCGAGGAGUGGCAGAAAUAGGUCCGAGAUUCAGCCUCUGGAGGAUAAACUUGGCUCUGCGGCUCCUUCUGAGGGAGGUUGUUGUCGCAUGUGUAGGAGAUGUACAAACAGAUUGCUGCAGUUACCCAAUUAAGAUUUCUGGCAGCCUUUGACAGCACAAAGGGAUGUCAAGUGUGGCUGAUGUACGUGUCAGGUGAAUGGUUACCUAAUUCCUUUGAAAUGGAAAGGUGCACAGAGGAUGUGUGUGGAACAGGAACAGCCAGUCCUGGGCCCAGCCUUCAUCUGGGGCAAAUGGCAAAUUUAUGUCCUUGAGGCUGAACAUCAGUUGUCAGCGUGCCUCAAAGUAGCAAUAAGUAUGUAGUGCAUAAAUCUGAAACAAGGACAGCAGCUUCAAAAACACCAAACAAUCUGAAGCAGACUAUAAAUUCAAGUCAAACUUGUUCAUGGAAUCUCUCAGUCUGCAAGUUUGUUCUCGCAGAUCCUUCAAAAGCCAUGCUUAGGCCUGAAAUAGUUGGAUUUUGGGGCCUCUCUGCUAUUUCAAUUAGGUUCUUGGAUAGUCUUAGAAUCCCAUGUGAGUCCUCAGAUGAUGGAUUAAAAUAUGCAGUGAGUCAUGUUAAAUUGGUGCCAAUUGAAAUGCACAGGUUGUAAAUCACUGCAGAAUUUGACUCAGUAAGUAGCAACCAUAAAUGUAAUACUUUGCAAUUCUAAGCACUGCGACUAUCUUAGAUUAGCUUCUCUUUUCCUUCUGAGAAACAAAAAACGCUUCAUACAAUAAUUUCAUAAAAUGUAUUGGUCUUCACAGGAAGGCUGAGAAGUGACACUGAUUGGUGUCCAAGCUGUUAACUGGUUAAAUGAAGUGACAAAAGGGAUGGGUGGGUGCCUUGUGGCUCAUGGUUGGGCAUGAGAGCUGUGGUAGAGCCAGGAACAUAAUCCAAGUCUCCUGACUCCUGGAUUUGAACUUUAAAACCAGAUCAAGUUUCCUUUGUGCUUUCAGUCCAUAAACUGACCUUUAGGAAUCAUAUUUACCUACAAGUUCCCAGAAGAGAUUUGCUUUCCCUGGUCAUGCUUUCCUGGUAUCAGUUACUGUUUUCUCUGAUGAGUAUUUUGAGCAUGUAGAACACAGAGAGAACAGAUGAGAAUGGUAUUUCUGAUGGAGGUGCCUGUGAGUUCCCCAUCACUUAAUCCUGGACAAACACUGUUUCUGUAAACACUGAUACACAUCCUUUCUUCCUCAGUGCUGAGGGGAAGCCAAGUGUGGUGAGCGUGGAGAGGAAUCUGGGCUGGGUGAACUAGGAAGCUGCUGCUCUGAGAUUUUGCUUUAUGUUGAGACUCUCCCAGUCCUCACACCUUCCCAGAAGGAAAGGACCAUUCCUCUCCUCUCAUGUCUCUUUAAUGUUAAAGAAGAGGAGGCAUGAAAAGUUUAGAUAAUGCUAAGCCACUGCAGCAGAUGCUGCCGAGCAAAGCUGUGACAGAGCUCGGCCACAGAGAGCAGCAAAUCCGAGUGGGACGAAACCUGAGCAAAUGAGAAUCCUGCUCCCUGCUUGAAGAGAGAUCACCUUAUAUGGGAACACCAUGGACAAGAGGAUGAAUGCAUCCGGCUGGCUGCUGAGACUCCUGGGAUUUACAAGUUGGACCUUGAGGGCUCUGCACCUUUCCAGCCUCACCUCCUGUGUGUACAGUGUCAGUGGUCGCCUCACAGCUCUCCCGGCCCCCUGGACCAGAUUCACACAGUUGGCUCAGAACACACUGAGCAGCUGCAGCUUUGUGUGACUCUGCACAGCAGGAGAGGCACAGCCAAGGUGUGUACCAUGGACUGGCUCUGCUGAGAGGAGCAGUGACUUCAUUGCUCCUUUUUGACCGCAGCAGCUGAUGCAAAACCAGACUAAGACCAAGUAGAAUGGUGUCCCAAGCAAUAUGAGAUAAGAAGCUAGAGAUGUGUGUGGCCACUGAUGACCCCAGAACGUGCUUCACCACUGCCCUGUGCCUUGCCUGGCACUGCCAGCUCUGUGGAGUGGGUGUUGAGUGCGUCUGCCCAGCCCAGAAGAGUGUUGCACCUUCUUUGCACUGGUGUGAAGUGUUGGGAGUGCAGAGUCAGGCCCAGAGGAGGUUGGCCUGAUGCUGGCUUCCAUCCAUUUAGCCCCAGUUGUCCCAGCAUUACUUCAGACUGGCAAAGCCUGGUAGUACUAAGGUUUGCUACUAUGGCAGCAAACAAGACCAAACAAGAUCAUUGAACUGGUGUUAGACCACCUUGGAGGGUGGAUGUGGAUGUGGGAACUCCUAGGUGGGAGUGUGGCAUAGCAUGUUAUUUAACAAGGAGGGGUUGGUUGGGCAGAGUUAACUAAGCUUCCUUUAGAAAACACUGUUUUGUUUCUUGCCAUGCUGUCUUGUUUUGUUUCUUGUCUGAAAAAUCCAAAAUAACUCCAUAGAUUAGUCUCAGGUUUGCACCAGUGUUUCUGAGAUUAGAGCCUGCUCUGUAGAGCCUCCUGUUCAAGGUCAGAUGAAAUGGCAAGUCACCCCUUGCAGCAGAUUCCAAGAACAAUAAGAUGUUUUAGGAAUAUGCCAUAAUUGAUUGCCUCUAAAGGGCAAAUUUUGCUCUGUGCUGCCAAGCAAGGGCUGUUCUCAGUGAUAAGUUUGCUGAACAAAGUCUCCUGAGGUUCGUGGAGGGCAGCAGGCCAGGACAUUGCGCACGCCGAUCCCAAUCGCACCAAGGAUCAAGUCUGCAGGAAAUCCAAGUGGCCUUGCUAAGGUUCUGUGCCCACCUUCUGCUACUUAGAGCUGGGUUCCCACUGCCACUUUCCAACAACAUUGUUAUCCCAAAGCACUGUUCUCCAGGAGGAAAAGGCUGAAAUGCUGUCAAAAUAGAGGAUAUAAAUAAAGGAACAUUGAUCAAUUGCUUUGUA
Parus major (Great Tit) is the source of this 3041-nucleotide long non-coding RNA. RefSeq lists it as uncharacterized. Lineage: Eukaryota; Metazoa; Chordata; Aves; Passeriformes; Paridae. The transcript is spliced from 3 exons. The record is from RefSeq and is a predicted model, not a curated record.